Molecule: ribosomal RNA, 466 nt
Filed under: uncultured bacterium
Lineage: Bacteria
Description: partial 16S ribosomal RNA
Rfam family: Bacterial small subunit ribosomal RNA
Source: RNAcentral
AACGAACGCUGGCGGUAUGCUUUACACAUGCAAGUCGAACGGGCAAGAGCCGUAGCAAUACGGAGUUCUGCUAGUGGCAAACGGGUGAGUAACGCGUGGGAAACUACCUUAUAGUACGGAAUAGCCCCGGGAAACUGGGAUUAAUACCGUAUACGCUCUUCGGAGGAAAGAUUUAUCGCUAUAAGAUGUGCCCGCGUUAGAUUAGCUUGUUGGUGAGGUAAUGGCUCACCAAGGCGACGAUCUAUAGCUGGUUUGAGAGGAUGAUCAGCCACACCGGAACUGAGACACGGUCCAGAGUUCUACGGGAGGCAGCAGUGGGGAAUAUUGGACAAUGGGCGAAAGCCUGAUCCAGCAAUACCGCGUGAGUGAUGAAGGCCUUAGGGUUGUAAAACUCUUUCAGUGGGGAAGAUAAUGACGGUACCCACAGAAGAAGCACCGGCUAACUCCGUGCCAGCAGCCGCCGUAA